UGGGGAAUUUUGUGCAAUGGGCGAAAGCCUGACACAGCGACACCGCGUGAGCGAAGAAGCCCUUUGGGGUGUAAAGCUCUGUCAACGGGGACGAAUAAAUGACGGUACCCGUGGAGGAAGCAUCGGCUAACUACGUGCCAGCAGCCGCGGUAAGACGUAGGAUGCAAGCGUUGUCCGGAUUUAUUGGGCGUAAAGAGUUCGUAGGCGGUUUGUUAAGUCUGAUGUUAAAGAUCGGGGCUCAACCUCGGGACUGCAUUGGAUACUGGCAGACUGGAGUGCGGUAGAGGCUAGUGGAAUUCCCAGUGUAGCGGUGAAAUGCGUAGAUAUUGGGAAGAACACCGGUGGCGUAGGCGACUAGCUGGGCCGUAACUGACGCUGAGGAACGAAAGCCAGGGGAGCGAAUGGGAUUAGAUACCCCCGUAGUCC
This 426-nucleotide ribosomal RNA is filed under the name uncultured bacterium. RNAcentral describes it as "bacterial SSU rRNA". It matches the Rfam family "Bacterial small subunit ribosomal RNA", at positions 355 to 796 of the family's 1533-position model. The record is from RNAcentral.